This 48-nucleotide non-coding RNA is filed under the name Schistosoma curassoni. The record is from RNAcentral. Lineage: Eukaryota; Metazoa; Platyhelminthes; Trematoda; Strigeidida; Schistosomatidae.
AUCCAUCUGACGAGUCCCAAAUAGGACAAAGUGACACGCGUCCUGGAU